RNAcentral lists this ribosomal RNA (364 nucleotides) under uncultured bacterium. RNAcentral's name for it is "partial 16S ribosomal RNA". It matches the Rfam family "Bacterial small subunit ribosomal RNA", at positions 338 to 699 of the family's 1533-position model. The record is from RNAcentral.
CCUACGGGUGUCAGCAGUGAGGAAUAUUGGUCAAUGGGCGCGAGCCUGAACCAGCCAAGUAGCGUGAAGGAUGACUGCCCUAAGGGUUGUAAACUUCUUUUAUAAAGUAAUAAAGUGAGGCACGUGUUCCUGUUUGUAUGUACUUUAUUAGUAAGGCUCGGCUAACUCCGUGCCAGCAGCCGCGGUAAUACUGAGGAUCCGAGCUUUAUCCGGAUUUAUUGGGUUUAAAGGGAGCGUAGAUGGUGUGUUAAGUCAGUUGUGAAAGUUUGCGGCUCAACCGUAAAAUUGCAAUUGAUACUGGCAGUCUGGAGUACAGUUGAGGUAGGCGGAAUUCGCGGUGUAGCGGUGAAAUGCUUAGAUAUCA